CGGGGGGGGCAAGCGUUGUUCGGAAUUACUGGGCGUAAAGGGCGCGUAGGCGGCCUGCUAAGUCGGACGUGAAAUCCCUCGGCUCAACCGGGGAACUGCGUCCGAUACUGGUGGGCUCGAAUCCGGGAGAGGGAUGUGGAAUUCCAGGUGUAGCGGUGAAAUGCGUAGAUAUCUGGAGGAACACCGGUGGCGAAGGCGGCAUCCUGGACCGGCAUUGACGCUGAGGCGCGAAAGCCAGGGGAGCAAACGGGAUUAGAUACCCCGGUAGUCCUGGCCCUAAACGAUGAGUGCUUGGUGUGGCGGGUAUCGAUCCCUGCCGUGCCGAAGCUAACGCAUUAAGCACUCCGCCUGGGGAGUACGGUCGCAAGGCUG
RNAcentral lists this ribosomal RNA (372 nucleotides) under uncultured organism. RNAcentral describes it as "bacterial SSU rRNA". It matches the Rfam family "Bacterial small subunit ribosomal RNA", at positions 526 to 896 of the family's 1533-position model. The record is from RNAcentral.